Molecule: long non-coding RNA, 719 nt
Filed under: Ricinus communis (castor bean)
Lineage: Eukaryota; Viridiplantae; Streptophyta; Magnoliopsida; Malpighiales; Euphorbiaceae
Description: long non-coding RNA (RCOM_LNC000410)
Source: RNAcentral
CAAGCAAAUGGCGAAUAAUUCUUGAAGAGAAGGUGCCUUCAAGUGAGAAUCGGAGAGCUUGAACCUGUCAGAAUUCGGUGCAGUUUUAGCCCAACUCCUCUGCUCCUCAGCUGCUGAAAAUCCUCUGUCACAAAUGGCUUCCAGUUUUCCUUAUAUUUCUAUGUUUGAUUGCAAAGAAUAACUAUAUAACAGGUGAGUUUACCUUGAAGUUGUUCUGGGUCUGGUUAGAUGUAAGGAUGGAACUGGAGCCUUUGGACAGAAGAUUAAAGUGCAGAUAGGAAGAAUAGAGGUGUUUGUGCGUGAAACUAGACUGAGUUCCGUAGGAUCAAGUUCUCUUGUUUUCUCAUUCUCACUAAUAUUCUUUUCUUUAUUUUUCUGAAACUAUCUCGGUAGAAAUCUCAUUACAAUCACAUGAUCCAAGGGAGAAGAAGAAAAGCAAUAAAAUGGUAAAUUUGCUAAUGUACCAUAAGAUUAAGUCUUUAAUUUUUCUCCAUAUAAUUCUAUGAUCAUGACAUGUUUAGAUUUUCACUCUGAAUUUGAUAUGAUUCAUGUACUUUUACUUUUACAGAAAUACUUCUAGAGGGAAAAAAAAAAAAAGGAGUUAUGCCUGCAAUUCACUUUUUUGCAAAAGCUAGAUAAUGAACAGUUUUGUAUCUUUUGCCUAAGAAUUCCGGCCUGACUCCUACCAUGUUUUGAGGUCAAUUGUCUAAAAAAAAAAA